UGGGGAAUAUUGGACAAUGGGCGCAAGCCUGAUCCAGCCAUGCCGCGUGAGUGAUGGAGGCCCUAGGGUUGUAAAGCUCUUUCACCGGUGAAGAUAAUGACGGUAACCGGAGAAGAAGCCCCGACUAACUUCGUGCCAGCAGCCGCGGUAAUACGAAGGGGGCUAGCGUUGUUCGGAUUUACUGGGCGUAAAGCGCACGUAGGCGGACUUUUAAGUCAGGGGUGAAAUCCCGGGGCUCAACCCCGGAACUGCCUUUGAUACUGGAAGUCUUGAGUAUGGUAGAGGUGAGUGGAAUUCCGAGUGUAGAGGUGAAAUUCGUAGAUAUUCGGAGGAACACCAGUGGCGAAGGCGGCUCACUGGACCAUUACUGACGCUGAGGUGCGAAAGCGUGGGGAGCAAACAGG
RNAcentral lists this ribosomal RNA (404 nucleotides) under Actinomycetes bacterium. Its description in RNAcentral is "Actinobacteria bacterium partial 16S ribosomal RNA". It matches the Rfam family "Bacterial small subunit ribosomal RNA", at positions 355 to 776 of the family's 1533-position model. The record is from RNAcentral. Lineage: Bacteria; Bacillati; Actinomycetota; Actinomycetes.